AGACGAUAAAUGGAUUUUCUAUGUGCGAUUUCGGCUCGUAAAGAUGUUUCGUUUUUA
This 57-nucleotide transfer RNA is filed under the name Gnathostoma binucleatum. RNAcentral describes it as "tRNA-Arg". The record is from RNAcentral. Lineage: Eukaryota; Metazoa; Nematoda; Chromadorea; Rhabditida; Gnathostomatidae.